CUUACGGGAGGCAGCAGUCGGGAAUUUUGGGCAAUGGGGGCAACCCUGACCCAGCAACGCCGCGUGAGCGAUGAAGGCCUUCGGGUCGUAAAGCUCUGUCGGGAGGGAAGAAGGCUCUCGGGGUGAAUAAUCCCGGGGGAUUGACGGUACCUCCAAAGGAAGCGCCGGCUAACUCCGUGCCAGCAGCCGCGGUAAUACGGAGGGCGCAAGCGUUGUUCGGAGUGAGUGGGCGUCUUGCGCGUGUGGGUGUGAAAGCCCGGGGCCUAACCCCGGAACUGCACUCGAAACUGCCUCGCUAGAGUCUCGGAGAGGGUGGUGGAAUUCCCGGUGUAGUGGUGAAAUACGUAGAUAUCGGGAGGAACACCAGCGGCGAAGGCGGCCACCUGGACGAUGACUGACGCUGAGACGCGAAAGCGUGGGGAGCAAACAGGAUUAGAUACCCUAGUAGUC
This 450-nucleotide ribosomal RNA is filed under the name uncultured bacterium. Its description in RNAcentral is "partial 16S ribosomal RNA". It matches the Rfam family "Bacterial small subunit ribosomal RNA", at positions 338 to 795 of the family's 1533-position model. The record is from RNAcentral.